Long non-coding RNA from Callithrix jacchus (white-tufted-ear marmoset), 5156 nucleotides. RefSeq lists it as uncharacterized. The record is from RefSeq and is a predicted model, not a curated record. Lineage: Eukaryota; Metazoa; Chordata; Mammalia; Primates; Cebidae.
GCAUCUGUAUGAUGAUUUGCUAAGUCUGACAACCCUCAUGAGGGUAAAAUGAAGAUUCGAAAAAUACUUAAAUGUUAAGCAAACAUGCAAAAUGAGGACAACUCUGUUCCCAUUUUGCAGACAAGGAAAUUGCACAUUAGGGAGGUGACUUGCCCCAAGGCCACACUCAGAAGUGUCAGAGUCGGAUUUGAACCCAGUCCUGAUUCCAGAGGUUUCAACUUUACUGUUGUGGCCAGAAACAUGCCGUAGUUCUACUCCUGUGUGUGCAUGUUCUGUCUUGAAUAUAACCCUCUCCCCAUCGUGUAAGUGGGCCAUUCCCCUCCCUGACAUUGAAGGGCCCCGUCUUCAGCAGGUGCCUCCUGACCCAGCAGACCCCCAUGAGCUCAGAUCCCUGGGACCUGAUGGCUGCCCUUAUCACAUUCCCUGACUCCGCAUCUUAGGACCCAAGUCUGACCCUCUUCAGGAUCUGCAGCUGUGUUACAGGAAAGGGGACCCGAUCCAGACCCCAAGGGAGGGUUCUUGAAUCUCGUGCAAGAAACAAUUCAGCAUGAGCCCGUAAAGUGAAAGCACAUUUGUUUGUUUGCUUGUUUUGUUGUUUUCUUUUGCUUUGUUUUGUUUAUGAGAUGGAGUCUCACUCUGUUGCCCAGGCUAGAUAGAGGGUAGUGGUGUGAUCUUGGCUCAGUACGACCUACGCCUCUCAGGUUCAAGUGAUUUUCCUGCUUCAGCCUCCUGAGUAGCUGGGAUCACGAGUGCAUGUCACCACACGUAGCUAAUUUUUAUAUUUCUAGUAGAGACUGGGUUUCACUAUGUUGGCCAGGCUCAUCUUGAACUCUUGACCUCAGGUGAUCCGCCUACCUCAGCCUCCCAAAGUGCUGGGAUUACAGGUGUGAGGCACAAAGCAAGUUAUUCUUUCCUAAAAAAGCAAGUUUUUUAGGAAAGUGACGAUAAAAUAACUACUCCAUAGAGCAGCCCAGAGGGUGCUGGUGCCCAUCUUUAGGGUCAUUUCUUCAUGACAUGCUGAAUGAGGAGAUUAUUCAUGACUCCUCUUUUGUAUAUCAUACAGGGAAACUUUCUGAUGUUGCCAUGGCAUUUGUAAACCGUUGUGGCGCUGGUGGCAAUGUAGCAGGGAGGACGAGCAUAGGUCGCUCUGGUUGCCAUCUUGGUUUUGGUGGGUUUUGGACUGGCUUCUUUACUGCAGCCUGUUUUACUGGCAAGGUCUCUGUGACCUGUAUCCUGUGCUGCCCUCCUGUCUUAUCCUAUGACUCAGAAUGCCUUCACCGCCUGGAAAUGCAGCCCAGUAGGUCUCAUCCUUUUUUUAUCCAGCUCCUAUUCAAGAUGGAGCUGCUGUGGUUCACACGCCUCUGGCAGCUGGGCUCCUUGGGAUCUCCUGAUGUUCUGUCCCCUCUGUCCCCAGCUCCUGGGUCCCUCCACCAUCGCUGUCUUCCUGAGCUGCCUGCCCCUGAGUUUCUUCAUCACCAAGAAGAGGAAUCAGUGUCAGGCCCAGCUGUCCCAAUGUCCAUCUGUCACUUGGACUGUUUCUCCAGCCGCCUGCGUGGCUUUCAUCCAGGCCCAGUGACUCAUGCCUGUGAUCCCAGCACUUUGGGAGGUCAAGACAGGUGGAUCUCCUGAGGAGAGCAAAUGAGGCAGAAGGACUGCGGGCCCGGCUCACCAGCUCCAUUCUCAGGAACUCGAGGACCAUCAAGUUCCAUGGCCUGGAGGGAGCCUUUCUGGACAGAGUCCUGGGCAUCCGAGGCCAGGAGCUGGGCACCUUGUGGACCUCUGGCCUCCUCUUCUCCGUGUUGCUGGUGUCCUUCCAAGCAUCUACAUUUCUGAUCAUGUCACUCUAGUCUCUCUGCUGAACAUGACUGGGGAAGAAGUGUGGGGCUCAGGAGGUGAGGUAGGUGGAGCCUCCCAGAUUUUACCACCUUGUCCAUCAAAACCCACACAUUCUGGAUCCUGUUCUUUCAGGGUUCCUGCUGUCUUCCACGUGAAUGAAUGAAUCACAUCAUUCUGGUGAAGGUGACAGCGGCUGGUGAGGCCUGCUGUUCUGAGAGUUCCAGGCUUCCAUUGAUGUAGGGAGGAGGGUUCAGGUGCAGACGGGCUGCAGAGGUAGAAUCCAGGGUCUGAGUGGCUUUCCUGCUGCUGGCCAGCAAAUGUCCACAGCCACCCUGUCACUGACGUGAUCCUUGUCCUGCCAUUCUGUCAUUUAUUUCCGAUGGCUGUCAGAACACUUCCUAAAGCACAGUUUUCAGAAGAAUUUAAACAUGUUGAUGCAUAGUCCAGGCACCGUGACUCAUGCCUGCCAUCCCAGCUCUUUGGGAGGCUGAGGUGGCUUCAACCUGGUUGGUGGAGAUUGCAGUGAGCUGAGAUUGUGCCACUUCACUCCAGCCUGGGCGAUGGAGCAAGACUGUGUCAAAAACAAAACAAAACUAAACAAAAGGACCACAAAUGGGACCAACACCUAGGGCCCUCCCAUGCUGCUCUCCCCAGGAGUCCCCAGGUUCAGCCCUCAUGUCUAUCACCUCAUGUCUAUCACAGAGGCCUUUCCUGACCACCUUUACCACCACCACAGCACCCCUGCUCAUGCUAAUGCACUCUAACCUGCACCUGAUCUCUCUUUACUUUUUUAUUUUUGAAGACAGAGUCUUGCUCUGUUCCCCAGGCUGGAGUGCAGUGACACAAUUUUGGCUCACUGCAACCUCCACAUCCCAAGUUCAAGCAAUCCUCCCACCUCAUCCUCCUGAGUAGCUUGGAUUACAGGCAGGUGGAUUACAGGCAGGUGCCACCACGCCUGGGUCAUUUUUUCUUUUGUACUUUUAGUAGAGAUGGCAUUUCACCAUGUUGGCCAGGCUCGUCUUGAACUCCUAACCUCAAGGGAGUUGCGGGAAUUACUGGUGGGAGCCACCGCACCUGGCUGUACCCGCUUUAGAUUUUAUUCUUCAUAGGGCUCUCCACCUGAUGUGCUGUCUGUGUUAAUGGUUUGUUUAUGGAUCGCCUGUCUCUUUCCCCCUCAUUAGAAUGAUGGAUCCAUUAAGAGAGCAGCAACUAUAUUUUGCCCAUUGCUGUUUCCCCAGAGCCUUGAACCCUGCCAAUUAUAUAAUAACCAGGCAGUAGUUAUUCAUAGAAUAAAUGAAUGUAAGAAUUAAUAAAUGGCCGGGUACUGUGGCUUGUGCCUGUAAUCGCAGCACUUUUGGAAGCCGAGGUGGGUGGAUUGCUUGAGGUCAGGAGUUUGAGACCUGCCUGGACAACAUGGUGAAACCCCAUCUCUACUAAAAAUAAAAAAGUUAGCUAGAAAUGGUGAUGCAUGCCUGUAAUCCCAGCUACUCCGAAGUCUGAGGCAGGAGAAUUGCCUGCACCCAGGAGGUGGAGGUUACAGUGAGUCGAGAUCAUGUCACUGCACUGUAGCCUGGCAGAAAGAGAAAGACUAUCUGAGAAAUAAAUGAAAAUAAUUAAAAAAAAGAAUGAAGGACAAGAAGGCCUAGAUAGAAGGAAUAAGUUACAGUAAUCAAUAGUGCACAAGGGAAUUUACAGUGAAUGAGAAUUUAUUUGAAUAUUUCAAGAUAGCUAAAAGAGAAGGAUUUUCAUGUUCCCGAAACAAAAGAUAAAUAUUUGAGGUGAUGACUGUCUCAGUUACCCUGAUUUGAUUAUUACAUAUUGUCUACAGCUGGGGUCUCCCACCCUCCUGGCCACGGAUCAGUACUAGUCUGUAGCCUGUUUUUGGCUGUCUUUUUUUUUUUUGAGACAGAGUUUCACUCUAUGCAUCGGUACGAUCUCAGGUAAAUGUAACCUCCACCUCCAAGGUUCAAGCAAUUCUCCUGCCUCAGCCUCCUGAGUAGCUGGGAUUACAGGCAUGUACCACCAUACCUGGCUAAUUUUUGUAUUUUUAGAAGAGACAGGGUUUUACCAUGUUGGCCAGGCUGGUCCCAAACGCCUUACUUCAGGUGAUUCGCCCUCCUCAUUCUCCCAAAGUGCUGGGAUUACAGGUGUGAGCCAUUGCACCAGGCUUUUUUUUUUUUUUUUUUUUGACUGGGAGUUUUGCUUUUGUUGCCCAGGCUGGAAUGCAAUGGCAUGAUUUUGGCUCUCUGCAACCUCUGUCUCCCAGAUUCAAGUGCCUUUCCUGCCUCAGACUCCCAAGUAGCUGGGAUUACAGGUAUGAGCCACCAUGCCAGGUUAAUUUUUGUAUUUCUAGUAGACACAGGGUGUCUCUAUGUUGGUCAGGUUGGUUUCAAACUCCCAACCUCAGGUGAUCCACCUGCCUCAGUCUCCCAAAGUGCUGGGAUUACAGGCGUGAGCCACCAUGCCCAUCUCACCUGUUAGGAACUGGGCAGGCAGCACAGCAAGUGAGCAGCGGGCGGGCUAGGGAGGCUGUAUCUGUGUUCACAGCCACUCCUUAUUGCUGGCAUCACCACCUGAGCUCCACCUCCUGUCAGAUCGGUGGCAUUGUUAGAGUCUCAUAGGAAUGCAAACCCUACUGUAAACAGCACAUGCAAGAGAGCUAAACUGCGUGCUCCUUAUGAGAAUCCAAUGCCUGUUGAUCUGUCACUGUCUCCCAUCAACCCCAGAAGGGACAAUCUAGUUUCAGUAAAACAAGCUCAGGGCUCCCAUUGAUUCUACGUUACGGUGAGUUGUGUAAAUAUUUCAUUAUAUAUUAAAAUGUAAUAAUAAUAGAAGUAGGCCGGGCACAGAGGCUCAUGCCUGUAAUCCCAGCACUUUGGGAGGCUGAGGCAGGCGGAUCACCUGAGGUCGGGGGUUCAAGACCAGCCUGGCCAACAUGGUGAAACACCAUCUCUGCUAAAAAUACAAAAAGUGGCAUGGUGGCAGGAACCUGUAAUCCCAGCUACUUGGGAGGCUGAGGCAGGAGAAUUGCUUGAACUGAGGAGCAGAGGUUGCAGUGAGCCACAAUUGUAGCAUUUUGAGAGGCUGAAGUGGGCGGAUCACCUAAAGUCAGCAGGUCGAGACCAGCCUGGCCCACUGGUGAAACCCCGACUCUAAUAAAAAUACAAAAAUUAGCUGGGUGUGGUGGUAGGAGCCUAUAAGCUGAGUUACUUGGGAGGCUGAGGCAAGAGAAUUGCUUGAACCCAGGAGGUGGAGGUUGCAGUGAGCUGAGAUCAUGUCCCUGCACUCCAGCCUGUGCAAUAGAGCAAGGUUCUGUCUUU